Molecule: ribosomal RNA, 425 nt
Filed under: uncultured bacterium
Lineage: Bacteria
Description: partial 16S ribosomal RNA
Rfam family: Bacterial small subunit ribosomal RNA
Source: RNAcentral
GUGGGGAAUAUUGGGCAAUGGGCGAAAGCCUGACCCAGCAACGCCGCGUGAAGGAAGAAGGUCAUCGGAUCGUAAACUUCUAUCCUUGGUGAAGAUAAUGACGGUAGCCGAGAAGGAAGCCCCGGCUAACUACGUGCCAGCAGCCGCGGUAAUACGUAGGGGGCAAGCGUUGUCCGGAAUGAUUGGGCGUAAAGGGCGCGUAGGCGGCCUGGUAAGUCUGGAGUGAAAGUCCUGCUUUUAAGGUGGGAAUUGCUUUGGAUACUGUCGGGCUUGAGUGCAGGAGAGGUAAGUGGAAUUCCCGGUGUAGCGGUGAAAUGCGUAGAGAUCGGGAGGAACACCAGUGGCGAAGGCGACUUACUGGACUGUAACUGACGCUGAGGCGCGAAAGUGUGGGGAGCAAACAGGAUUAGAUACCCUGGUAGUCC